GAUGAACGCUGGCGGCGUGCCUAAUACAUGCAAGUCGAGCGAACAGAUGAGGAGCUUGCUCCUCUUACGUUAGCGGCGGACGGGUGAGUAACACGUGGAUAACCUACCUAUAAGACUGGGAUAACUUCGGGAAACCGGAGCUAAUACCGGAUAAUAUAUUGAACCGCAUGGUUCAAUAGUUAAAGACGGUUUUGCUGUCACUUAUAGAUGGAUCCGCGCCGCAUUAGCUAGUUGGUAAGGUAACGGCUUACCAAGGCAACGAUGCGUAGCCGACCUGAGAGGGUGAUCGGCCACACUGGAACUGAGACACGGUCCAGACUCCUACGGGAGGCAGCAGUAGGGAAUCUUCCGCAAUGGGCGAAAGCUUGACGGAGCAACGCCGCGUGAGUGAUGAAGGUCUUCGGAUCGUAAAACUCUGUUAUUAGGGAAGAACAAAUGUGUAAGUAACUAUGCACGUCUUGACGGUACCUAAUCAGAAAGCCACGGCUAACUACGUG
RNAcentral lists this ribosomal RNA (497 nucleotides) under uncultured bacterium. RNAcentral's name for it is "partial 16S ribosomal RNA". It matches the Rfam family "Bacterial small subunit ribosomal RNA", at positions 28 to 507 of the family's 1533-position model. The record is from RNAcentral.